Molecule: ribosomal RNA, 253 nt
Filed under: uncultured bacterium
Lineage: Bacteria
Description: partial 16S ribosomal RNA
Rfam family: Bacterial small subunit ribosomal RNA
Source: RNAcentral
UACGGAGGGUGCGAGCGUUGUCCGGAAUCACUGGGCGUAAAGGGCGCGUAGGCGGCGUCGGUAGUCCGUGGUGAAAGCUCGUGGCUCAACUGCGAGUCGGCCAUGGAUACUCCGAUGCUUGAGCACUGUAGAGGCAGGUGGAAUUCCGGGUGUAGCGGUGGAAUGCGUAGAGAUCCGGAAGAACACCGGUGGCGAAGGCGGCCUGCUGGGCAGUAGCUGACGCUGAGGCGCGACAGCGUGGGGAGCAAACGGG